RNAcentral lists this ribosomal RNA (958 nucleotides) under uncultured bacterium. RNAcentral's name for it is "bacterial SSU rRNA". It matches the Rfam family "Bacterial small subunit ribosomal RNA", at positions 534 to 1501 of the family's 1533-position model. The record is from RNAcentral.
GGGGGCGUGUCCGGAUUUACUGGGCGUAAGGGCGUGUAGGCGGCACGGCAAGUUGGGUGUGAAAGCCCCCGGCUCAACUGGGGAGGGUCACUCAAAACUGCCGAGCUCGAGGCCGGUAGGGGGAGACGGAAUUCCGGGUGUAGUGGUGAAAUGCGUAGAUAUCCGGAGGAACACCGAUGGCGAAAGCGGUCUCCUGGGCCGGUCCUGACGCUGAGGCGCGAAAGCGCGGGGAGCGAACCGGAUUAGAUACCCGGGUAGUCCGCGCCCUAAACGAUGGAUACUUGGUCUGGGGGGUAUCGACCCCUCCCGGGCCGAAGCUAACGCAUUAAGUAUCCCGCCUGGGGAGUACGGCCGCAAGGUUGAAACUCAAAGGAAUUGACGGGGGCCCGCACAAGCAGCGGAGCGUGUGGUUUAAUUCGACGCAACGCGAAGAACCUUACCAGGGCUUGACAUGGCGGAAGUAGGGACCUGAAAGGGCGACGACCCGUAAAACCGGGAACCGUCACAGAUGCUGCACGGCUGUCGUCAGCUCGUGCCGUGAGGUGUUGGGUUAAGUCCCGCAACGAGCGCAACCCCCACCGCUAGUUGAAUCACUCUAGCGGAACUGCCGGGCGAAACCCGGAGGAAGGCGGGGAUGACGUCAAGUCAUCGUGGCUCUUACGCCCUGGGCCACACACACGCUACAAUGGGCGGUACAAAGGGCUGCCAAGCCGCAAGGCGGAGCGAAUCCCAUAAAACCGCCCUCAGUUCAGAUUGCAGGCUGCAACUCGCCUGCAUGAAGUCGGAGUUGCUAGUAACCGCCGGUCAGCACACGGCGGUGAAUGCGUUCCCGGGCCUUGUACACACCGCCCGUCACGUCAUGAAAGCUGGCAAUGCCUGAAGCCGGUGGGCUAACCCUUCGGGAGGCAGCCGUCGAAAGCAGGGCUGGUGAUUGGGACGAAGUCGUAACAAGGUAACC